GGCAUAAUAUGUAUUGCAGAAACACUUCGAGAGGCACGUAUUACGUAAAGGUGCAUGCUGUUAGUGUUGAACGUCGGCAGGUAGAAAGAAAAAGGGUGCCAGUCAAUAAUGAAAAAAGAGGAAACCUCUCACUAUCCGCUACACUAUUGUCGAAAUCCUUUUUAUUACGUGUAGUGUAUCGCAACGAACAAGGUGCUCCCGUAGGUUAUUUGGUGUGUGUAACAGCAACGGCAGCUACAGUGUGAUAUUUCAGUCAGCUGUGUGCAUGUUGGUGAGAAAUUAAAGGAACGGGGACGGGUGGGUUAUUGUGAUGAGAUGGACCCUCCUUUUCGUAUUCGUGUAUGAUCUGCGUAUCUGUUGUGUCUCGAUGUGCUUUGGUUGUACUACGCUAGACGAUCGUCACCAUCCUCAUCAACAUCAUGUUGAGGCAAACGUCCUAGCCGACGCCCCGGUUCCGCAACGGCAACUGCGGCCGCUCGCCCUACCUCCUUCGUGGGUACCGCCGCCGGCGCAGGUACAUGACCUAGUCGAGCCGCUCCCUGAGCUCCGCGCGCGGGUCGAGGUCGCGGGCGCGUACGUCCUCGAGCAAGAGCCGGACCUGCUGGCGCGUGGCCGCGCGCCGGAGGACACGGCGGCGACGGUGCCGCGUCAAGGCCCGCGCGUCGCGACGGCGGAGGCGGAGGUCGAGCAGGUGGACGUCGUCAAACGCGCGCGCGCUGGCGACGCGCCUAUCGGCCAAGCUGAGGAACGCGAACGCGAAGGAGAGGAGGCAGUCGCGGCGUCCGCCGCGGGCACAGCGGAGGCUCGGCCGGCUGCUGCUGCACUGCCAUCUGCGGCACGGCCCUGGCCCUCUCCGGUAAAGGAAUGUGGUGAACUAAUGAAAUGAAACAAAGAAUGUGGUUGUUUAUAAAUUUUGUUAUACGUUAUUCGUCCACUUGAGAGACCAAAUUGGCCCCAACCAACUAAUACUCUUCUGCAUCUUGGUCAUCUCCUUCUGCUGCCUCUUCCUGACCUGCUCCUGCCACCUACAAUAGUAUUUUCGUCGCCGUAUGUUCGUCUCGACCAGUUCUCUUUUUAAGCCGUCUCAGAGGGGAGUUUUUGGUUCCAAAGAAUGACACUUUAGCCUGUCUCAAAGAGGACUGGUUCCCUCUUAAGAGUCCCUUUUAUAAACUCGUCCCACAACGGGAACUAACGUUCCAAAAGCCUGUCCUUUAAAGCCGUCUCACUGCGGGGCUUGUUCCCCCAAAGACUGACCUUUAAAGUCGUCUCACAGCGGUCGAUCCAAAGCAGCGUUCCUAAGGUUGUCUCAUCAUGAUUCGAUCUACCAUCUAGAACAUACUAUUCUAUGAAAGUGUGUCUUAGAGGUUCCGUGUCCCUUGAUUUCCACCAUCUACGGUUCGUUUCUCCCAAGUUUGAACUUUCCACCCUCGUCCCACCAACACCAGUUGUCCUUCAUUCUCGUCGUCGCACCGCAACGACGACGCUCUUUUCUUUCUUAGGUUCAGGAAGGUCUCUCCCCUCUUCUCUCUCUCCCUUUUCCCUUAACCCCGAACCUGCUCCCUGCGUCAAAUAUCCGCCCCUCCUCCCCGCAAACGAAUCCUCAAUUCACCCGCCCACCCCUUCUUGGUUUCGGUUUCCGCACCGCGCCACGCCACGGCACGCGACCACCACUCUUUUCUCCGUCGUUUUCGUCUCCCUCUGUCGCUCUCCGUUUCUUGCCUCCUCGGAAGGCGACGACUUUUGGGUUUCCGUUAGUUUCUCAUUUAAUCUCGUAGAGUUUCCUGCACAAACCAACGAACGUACUCCGGGUCGGACCGGGCCCGCCCUUCUUAAACCGGGCAAACCAAAGGACGUAAGUAACACGCCGGGCGUAGCGUGCUUCGAAUUUCGUGCAGGUCCGGUCCAGGUCCCCGUUGCGUGUUUAGCCGCCAUCGAGCGUUCGGACCGGUCCCGCUCCGUCGCCUCCCGCUGCGCGAAGAGGGGAGCACGCUCGUCCCCUCUACCGCGCUCGAGCGGGCGCAGCGGCUUUUUAGCCGCCCUCCUAAAGCCGAGUGGAGGGCGGCGAGGUGGGGGAUAAAUCGGGGAGGGAGUGGCGGGGUUGAGGGCGGUGGUAAGAAGGAGGCAAGCGCGAAAGGGCGGCUGCGCGUAGCCGUGGCUGCUCGUCCAUUCGCCGCGUAGAAGUAGCCGGCCAACAGGUGCCGCAACCUCGAGGAAGUGACCGGCCGCAAGUAGAAGGUGGUGGCAGGGGGGAGCAGGAGUUCGACGUCGGUACCGGAGACUGUACUGGUGCGUCUGCGUUCUAGAAUCAGACCGGGAACAGCACAGGCUGUCGGUCAAACGAGGUAGCAAACAGCUCCUGAGCGUCGGAUACAGGCUCUACCGUGGACUAAGUCUCCACAAGCUCAGACUAAGGGAGAUACACAGUCAUCACGAGCAACUCGGUUGAUUAUGACGACGACGACGGCGACGUGAGUUCGAUCGUCGUCGUUUCCGUUUCUUCCUAUCAUCCAGCUUGUUGUACUUCACCGUCGGCAAGUACAGGUGCAAGCACGACUUGUUCUACACACUUGAGUAGAGAUCACCUCAAUCCUGACUGUUCCCGAAGUUCCUCCACGUGAACUUGUGGCAACGCUUCGUCCACAAGCUCAAGACACCCGUUCUCCACAGACGGUGGGUCCACAUGUUGGUGGACUCCUUCAUCUCUUCAGCUAUCUAGGUUCACAGGUUCGACUCUCUGGAAUCGCCGCAGAGUACCCUACUCUUGUGAACGAGUUAUCAAGACCUCCGUCUCGUGAUGCGGCCGGUACAGCGCCUGGUGGGUUCCCUGCGACUCAAGGAGUUGUGUGGGUAAGUCUUGAUGUUGGUCUACGUCGUGUAGAAGAGGAAGCCCGACCGUUGACCCUUCGUACGGUACCCGAGCCCCCUCGGAGAACCAAGAGGGUACGGACUGAAGGGACCCUGGGACCUGCAGCUCUAGGAACUACCGGGACUGUUCGGGCGACGCUUCGGGAAGCUGUUCGGUAAACUGGGGCAACUAUCUUUCUCCUUCUCUCCUCCGGACUACCUCCUCCUCUAGUUACAGAAGGCGUCGUGCUGACUCCGCCACUUCCUCCACCGUUGUCGGUAGUCCCUCACGUUCGGGGAGCUGCAGGUGGGAUUGGACAUACCGCGACAGUACUGGGUCCCACCGAAGUCGCUGCUCCGAGAGUACCGUCGAGAGUCGGUGGACGAACUGUUGUUCCGGGUACCACAACCCAAGCAACGGUACCAGCUGCGAGUGUCCUACUACACCGAGUCCUCGACCGACCCGUUCGUGAUGAUGAUCUCAUCACGACGGACACUCGCACGUACUAGGCGCUGCCGCUACCACCACCGCUGCUGCUGCUACUACUGCUACUGCUGCAUGUAAAACACAUCGAUCCCGAGUUUUUGAUAAACUACCAGACAUAUAAAACCACUCCACCAUAUAUGAUUGGGGAGUGCCACUGCCACUUGAACGCCACCAUCCUGCUGUGGGAGAAAACCUACACCACCAUCCAAUUGUGGUUCCAUCACGAUCCUUCUUGAACGAUACGGCAUACUAGUACGUACGAAAUGAAGAGAAGACGAGGUAACAACAAACACACGAUGAAACGAACGAUGAACACGAGGUAACUAAACGACGAAGUUGAGAACGAGAACACGUAACGAUCCCGUUCACCAUACAGCACAAGUAACCACUCCAAGGUCCCCAAAUAUCAAGUACCUUUCUUCGGUUACGUGUUCACUGUAGCAUAUCGUUGUAGUUGAUAUCUCCCAAGUUCUGAUUCGUCCGUUGUCUUGUUCGAAUGAGGCGGACCCACGCUUUCGUGCCUCCGUCGUCACAGCUGUCACGGUUCCAACCUCGACAGUUUCACCUUCGACGAUUCCACCUAGCAGUCAAGCCGGACUUCGACUUCUUGAAGUAGUAGAAGCGGGUCAAGCAGUGGUAACGACACAACACCGCAACCACACGAUCCACACUAGUAACACCCAUUCGAGUGGUUGAUCCCAUAUUCCAUUCGUGUUGUACAUGUGCAUACGUUGGUUUGAAGCACAAGUACACGGCGAUCCCGGUUACGUCGGUUGGUUUGUUUCACGUGAACGUAUAAUGGAUUACGUCCCUGAUCCCUACGUCCGUUGGUUAGUUCAACGUAUACCGCAUAAUCCCGGACAAAAAGGAGUUGGUCCGACCCAACUCUUCCCGUACGUUACGCUGAUGACAAGGUUUGACCUUGGUUUGUGCGGGGUUGACCUACCACAGUAUGGCUGUGGGUUUGUGGGUCUGCCCGGACAGACCAGUCACAGGCUUGCCUCACCGCCACGGUUACCACAAGACACACCAGCCAACUGAUGUGUACUAAUCCGUUUUUGUCAUCCUUAGCUGGUUUUUGAUUAAUCUUAAUUUGGUUUAUGUUGAUGAACUGUAGUG
RNAcentral lists this ribosomal RNA (4450 nucleotides) under Triticum aestivum (bread wheat). RNAcentral describes it as "partial small subunit ribosomal RNA". The record is from RNAcentral. Lineage: Eukaryota; Viridiplantae; Streptophyta; Magnoliopsida; Poales; Poaceae.